Molecule: long non-coding RNA, 369 nt
Filed under: Lepidothrix coronata (blue-crowned manakin)
Lineage: Eukaryota; Metazoa; Chordata; Aves; Passeriformes; Pipridae
Description: lncRNA (ENSLCOG00000012415.1)
Source: RNAcentral
GGAGGCAAUGCUGCUGUUUGUGCUGUGAAUGGUUAAACACUGUGUUUUUUCUUUUUAAGAUAUCUUGAAGAAAUUCAAUCCAAACCUCUUUGGCUUCUCCACUGGCAUUUCUAAGGAAACAGCUGGAUUCAACGUUGCAGAGAGAAAUGCCACAGCGCGUAAUAUGCCAGCCCAAGCACGUGAAUUAGUGGAGCUAAUGAGAAGCAGCUCGAAAAUUAACUUCAAGGAAGACUGGAAGCUGAUCACUGUCCUUGUUGGAGGCAGCGACCUGUGCCAGUAUUGCUUGGACAAGGUUUGUAUCUCUGAAUUAGGCAUGCUUAUCCAGGUAUUUGGCAGAUGACCAGCCCUGGAAAUAUAACCUUUCUCUCU